GGCUUAUCUCCCCCAAGAGUCCACAUCGACGGGGAGGUUUGGCACCUCGAUGUCGGCUCAUCGCAUCCUGGGGCUGAAGUAGGUCCCAAGGGUUGGGCUGUUCGCCCAUUAAAGCGGUACGCGAGCUGGGUUCAGAACGUCGUGAGACAGUUCGGUCCCUAUCUGUCGCGGGCGUAGGAAAUUUGAGAGGAGCUGUCCUUAGUACGAGAGGACCGGGAUGGACGUACCGCUGGUGUACCAGUUGUUCCGCCAGGAGCACCGCUGGGUAGCCAAGUACGGACGGGAUAAGCGCUGAAAGCAUCUAAGCGUGAAGCCCCCCUCAAGAUGAGAUUUCCCAGUAUGUAAGACCCCUUGAAGACGACGAGGUUGAUAGGUUCGGGGUGGAAGUGCAGUAAUGUACGGAGCUGACGAAUACUAAUCGGUCGAGGGCUUAUCCUA
Molecule: ribosomal RNA, 438 nt
Filed under: Paenibacillus sp. GSMTC-2017
Lineage: Bacteria; Bacillati; Bacillota; Bacilli; Caryophanales; Paenibacillaceae
Description: Bacterial large subunit ribosomal RNA
Rfam family: Bacterial large subunit ribosomal RNA
Source: Rfam by way of RNAcentral